RNAcentral lists this transfer RNA (92 nucleotides) under Burkholderia cenocepacia. RNAcentral describes it as "tRNA-Ser". It matches the Rfam family "tRNA". From Rfam's summary of the family: Transfer RNA (tRNA) molecules are approximately 80 nucleotides in length. Their secondary structure includes four short double-helical elements and three loops (D, anti-codon, and T loops). Lineage: Bacteria; Pseudomonadati; Pseudomonadota; Betaproteobacteria; Burkholderiales; Burkholderiaceae. The record is from RNAcentral.
AGAAGCGUGGUCGAGUGGUUUAUGACGCAGCCCUGCUAAGGCUGAAAGUUGAGCAAUCAGCUUCAUGAGUUCGAAUCUCAUCGCUUCUGCCA